GGGUAAUUAGCUCAGUUAGGUAGAGCGGUACAUGAUAUUGGUAUUUGUAGUUUGUCAUGGUAUUAUUUAAAGGUUUCAUCAUGUAUAGGUCACGGUGUUCAAGUCCCGUAUUACCCA
This 117-nucleotide transfer RNA is filed under the name Bacteroides uniformis. Its description in RNAcentral is "tRNA-OTHER". It matches the Rfam family "tRNA". From Rfam's summary of the family: Transfer RNA (tRNA) molecules are approximately 80 nucleotides in length. Their secondary structure includes four short double-helical elements and three loops (D, anti-codon, and T loops). Further hydrogen bonds mediate the characteristic L-shaped molecular structure. tRNAs have two regions of fundamental functional importance: the anti-codon, which is responsible for specific mRNA codon recognition, and the 3' end, to which the tRNAs corresponding amino acid is attached (by aminoacyl-tRNA synthetases). tRNAs cope with the degeneracy of the genetic code in two manners: having more than one tRNA (with a specific anti-codon) for a particular amino acid; and 'wobble' base-pairing, i.e. permitting non-standard base-pairing at the 3rd anti-codon position. The record is from RNAcentral. Lineage: Bacteria; Pseudomonadati; Bacteroidota; Bacteroidia; Bacteroidales; Bacteroidaceae.